Molecule: long non-coding RNA, 2208 nt
Organism: Brienomyrus brachyistius
Lineage: Eukaryota; Metazoa; Chordata; Actinopteri; Osteoglossiformes; Mormyridae
Exons: 2
Source: RefSeq, a predicted model, not a curated record
AUGAUGAGCCUGUUCAUUCAUCUCAGCUGUGGCUUAUUGACGCUUGUAUGGAGCUGGCUUCCAUUUUCCUCCGUACUCAGAACUGGAACCCAGACCCCGAUACCUGAUCCCACAUCCCUUGUGCUUCCUUUUCAUUUGGUCACUUCCACACCCAAACCCUUCAUGCCAGAACGUUCUGUUCACUCUCCCACUCGGAUCCAUGUCCAGGGUUUGGAAUUCAACACACACUGCAUUUCAGUGAGUCGGGGCUGUAUUGAUCUGGUGUGAGAAUGUCCCCUCAGUCCCCAAUAAACAAUUACUGCACUGGAUGUGCGCCUGUCCUUCAUCGUGUGUUUUGGAACUGUUUACGUUACCCCAGCAACCACUGGCUACGGGGCACGGAGGUCAAAGACGGAAGCUUGGGGCUUAAAACCCGGGUCUGGACCUGCCUCCGUAAAGCUGAAGCUGAAGCGUUUUCCGAAGUGCCUUUCCAGUGAAAAACACAAGUGAAAGGAUUGGUUGCAUAAGAUUUUCAAGCCAAUUAGUGGGGCAUUGCAUUCUGGGACACCGGUCAAGUAAGCCAGAAGCCGUAGGUGUCCGCGUCGAAGCAGCUUGCUUUAAGUAACGCUUUCUGAGACUCCCAGCCGGUUAGUUGCUAGUUUCAGCCGCAGCAGGAGCUCCUGCUUUAGUAUCCUUGAGCGCUUUUGUGCAAAGUGCGUCACCUGCAUUGCCUCCGUGCCGGAGCUGGCAGCUGAGCGAAACGCUGCUUACGCGGGGGAAACUGACACUGAUAUCGAGCGGGGAUCAUUUAUACAAACGAUAUUACCCCCUCAGCCGCUGCUGUCUCUCUCUCUCUCUCUCUCUCUCUCUCUCUCGCCACAUCAGCUGACAGCAGGGAAUUUAAAACAUGGCACAACAACUGUGCAACCUAGGCUGCCCUUAAUCCCCGUCGCCCUGUACGGUACGCGCUGUAACGAAGCCACUCCAGGCUUUUGCAAUGAUCGCCCUGAAAUUAUAGCCCUGAUAUCAUACCCAUACGAGUCAGCUACCCUCAGCCUGCCCUCGUUCGUGCUGCUGACCUUCUGCUCUUACCUUUGACCGGUUUAAAGAGAAGGAUGCAUUCAGGCUGCAGCCCAGACCCGGUUAGCGAGGAGCGCUCCGCGAUGAAAGUAAGAAUGGGACGACGCGCUCGACUAUAAAACCGACAUCUGCAGCCUUCUGCAUUAUCCGCACGAGUCAGCAGCCGCUUUUGGUCGAAAAAUGUUUCAAAAAUAUAUAUCUGCGAGAUUAAGUUAAACUGUGAAACUGUUAAAAAAAAAAUACAAUAAAUAUUAAAGCAACAAAACAGUACUGCUUGGAAAGCUUGAAAUAUGAGGCCACUUUGAUCAUCUCCAGGGUGCCGUUAGUGUGCGGUUCCAUCUGCACAGUUGCAGGAUGGGCUUCCCCUCACGCCAGCAGCCAGUGGCUUAUUAAGCUGCGCGACGGAUUACAUCAAUCGAGGGGUCUCAGACGUGUGGCGUGUUUUUCUGAGGGUGUGUACCUUUAAGGACAAAAAAAAAAUAAAAUCAUCGGCACGUUAUGUAAUAGUUUGGUGCCGCCCGGCCUUGUUUUGUCAGCUGAACUCUGAUCGUAGCGUGUAAACACCCAGCCCACUGUGUCAUAAGGCAGCCAGCUGUCAAAACAGCCCUCCGUGGCCCUUUAUCUGCGCCUGUCGUCUGUGCCGAUGAGUGAGCCGGCGGAGAGACAUCAGGAAAGCCAGGAGGGAGAGAAACAGGAAAACAACGCACCUGAGGACAGAGGAGGAGGAGGGAGGAGGAGGAGAGCGCCCCCUGCCUUCUGUCCUGGGCUUCCUAGGAUUGACUCUAAGCUCAUCCCAAUUCUGUACUACAUAACCGGCUAUGGAUAUUGGAUUAGUUAUCCAUUUGUUUGUUUAUCAGUCUAUUUAUUAGGUGUUUUUGUUUUGUAUGAUGAUCGUUGAAGCCUCAGCACAAACACACGGAGGCUACGAGGGCAGAGAUGGCAGGGCGAGCAGUGUUGGGGGCCGUGACCUCUCAGCCCCGGCCCGUAAGCUCUGAUGGUCCUGGGAGGGCCGUUCUCCACUCUGCACCGCAUGCAGAGAUUAUGAGCGGCCAGACCCAGCCGCUGGUAAACUGCUGAAUUCAUACAUCCCUUCCAGGAAAUGUUAGCAGUCAGUCUUCACAGUAAAUAUAUCCUUGGUUAUCACAUUAA